AUUAGGGCACCCGAUCCUCAUUCGAACCAGCAGCGUAAGAACUCUGGCUUAGAUCUACUCGCUGCUGGUUCGUCACUUCAGCAGUGCAGCUGUGCUCGUUCUGGGCUGCCAAGAAUAAGUCGAGUCGAGAGCCUGUUGUCCGCAGUUCCUGGGUCGAGCUGAGACUGUCAUUCACAGUUCCUGGGUCAAGUCGAGAGACUGCCGUCCGCAGUUCCUGGGUUGAGUCGAGAGCCUGUUAUCCGCAGUUCCUGCGUCGAGUCGAAAGCCUGUCGUCUGCAGUUCCUGAGUUGAGUUGAGAGCCUGUCAUUCACUGUUCCUGAGUCGAGUCAAGAGCCUGCCGUCCAGCUGAGUUUGUCGGCCGUUUGCCACUUCAUGAGCUACCCGGAGUCGAGAAUACAUGUGGUCUGCCUGAAGCUCAAGGACUAAAAGGAGAAAUGGGAUUUUAAACUCUGAAGGUAUCUGUGGUCCUGUUGGAGUCUGUGAUCUACAGCUGAAUUCAAGCUAUGGUUCUGCGUGGCAGUGGGUUCCUGUUCUUGCAGCUCGCCGACUGGCCGCGUUUCAUUACCUCCCAGAAGACGGGCGCCUUUGGGGUGCAGCCUUGCACAGCCCUGCAGAUGACUUGAUUCCCUGGCAGUGUUGCAACUGAAGCGUCAUGGGAGACUGGAACAUCGAGACAGCGGGGAGGCUGUUAGAGGGCUCUGCAUUCGGCCGAUUGCUCUUUCUCUCUCUCUGUCAAUGGUGAGAGAGAUUGCUGCCAAUUCUCGAGUCAGGGAACUUGAAAUAAAAAAAAAGUGGCGCUACAGACUGUAACAUUGAAAUUGUGAACUAAUGGUCUCUCUUCUUGCUGUGGAGAGAUUGGUACCUCUCUUGGCCUUGUUGGGCUGAGAGAGAAAGUGAGAGAGUGAGAGGGGUGGGGUGCUGAUCUUUUCUUCUGGAAUAGAAGGGGGAGAAGGAGAGAAUUGGUGCUUCUGCUGCUGCUUGUGCAUGGGUGGGGUUUUGGGGUUUUUAUGCUUUUUCUGGCAUUUGUUCUUUGGGGGAUUUUUUCUGUUUUGUGGAUAUCUGCGGAGAGUAGGAAUUUCAGAUUGUAUAUUUUAUACAUUCUCCGAUAUUAGGUAGAACAUUUGAACCAUUAAACCAUAUUAGGGGUAAUGAAUUAGCCACCAUCAAUUCUUUAGGAUGCUGGAGAAUCCAAAAGGGGAGAAUGCACUCAGAGGGAGAAUGUGCAAACUCUACGCAGACAGCAGCUAAGAUCAGGAUCAAACUGACCAGUUGGAUUUGUGUGGCUAAUGCACUAACUGCUGCACUACCAGACUCAGCUUCAUCUGAAAUACCACUAGUAUCUUUUCCCCUUCUUAGAGAAGCAAAGCAAAUCAAAUGUCUAACUUUUCAAAGUUAAAAGUAACAGGGAUUCAGUCCCUGAUGUGCAUUCUUGGUAUCCAGCAACAGCAAUCAUGGAUUAGACCUAAGCAUGGCGUUGGCAAUGAUCAAUGUAUUUUAUACAUGCAGUGACAACGUUAUUAGACAUACCUGUAUACCUUCUCCUCAAUGCAAAUAUCUAAUCUACCAAUCGUGUAACAGCAACUCAAUGCAUAAAAGCAUGCAGAUUUGGUCAAGAGGUCCAGUUGUUGUUCAAACCAAACAUUAGAAUUGGGAAGAAAUGUGAUUUUUAAGUACGUGGGUUAUCACCAAAGGAAAGAAAUGGCUGGAGUCACUCAGUACUUUAGCGCAAGGGUGCUUAUUAGCUGUGUCAAAAAUCAAUGAAAUUAUUAAAAUCAGCAAAAGUAGUGAACAGAGAAUUAUCAAUAUAUUAUACAAGAAGAUAUCUACUAGAAAAUACAGUAAUAGUUUUGAACUUAUACUUGUUCAGUGUGAACACCUGGCAACCCUCACCUCUCUCUUCGACUGACAGUGAAGAGCCCUGAGCAAUUAGGCACUCCAGCAUACCAUCUUUAAUUACCCACAAAGUUAAUUUAAGAUUACAUAUGAGUUAGAAUAUGAUGCAGCCCACAAUGUAGUUACAAUCAUAUUACAAAAUAAACAGAUAUAUCUACCUUAAAUACAGUAUACAAGUAAAAUAUACAUGUUUACACAUCCCCGAUACUAAAG
This is a long non-coding RNA of Mobula hypostoma (lesser devil ray), 2106 nucleotides long. RefSeq lists it as uncharacterized. The transcript has 3 exons. NCBI's taxonomy places the organism in Eukaryota, Metazoa, Chordata, Chondrichthyes, Myliobatiformes, Myliobatidae. The record is from RefSeq and is a predicted model, not a curated record.